RNAcentral lists this ribosomal RNA (478 nucleotides) under uncultured bacterium. RNAcentral describes it as "partial 16S ribosomal RNA". It matches the Rfam family "Bacterial small subunit ribosomal RNA", at positions 28 to 523 of the family's 1533-position model. The record is from RNAcentral.
GACGAACGCUGGCGGCGUGCUUAACACAUGCAAGUCGAACGGUAAGGCCCUUCGGGGUACACGAGUGGCGAACGGGUGAGUAACACGUGGGUGAUCUGCCCUGCACUUCGGGAUAAGCCUGGGAAACUGGGUCUAAUACCGGAUAGGACCCUGGGAUGCAUGUCCUGGGGUGGAAAGCUUUUGCGGUGUGGGAUGGGCCCGCGGCCUAUCAGCUUGUUGGGGGGGUGAUGGCCUACCAAGGCGACGACGGGUAGCCGACCUGGGUGGGUGACCGGCCACACUGGGACUGAGAUGCGGCCCAGACUCCUCCGGGAGGCAGCAGUGGGGAAUAUUGCACAAUGGGCGCAAGCCUGAUGCAGCGACGCCGCGUGAGGGAUGACGGCCUUCGGGUUGUAAACCUCUUUCAGCACCGACGAAGCGCAAGUGACGGUAGGUGCAGAAGAAGGACCGGCCAACUACGUGCCAGCAGCCGCCGCCG